RNAcentral lists this transfer-messenger RNA (413 nucleotides) under Patescibacteria group. RNAcentral describes it as "GCA-016699145 sp016699145 Standard tmRNA". It matches the Rfam family "transfer-messenger RNA". Rfam says of the family: Bacterial tmRNA, also known as 10Sa RNA or SsrA, is named for its dual tRNA and mRNA-like properties. Its role is to liberate the mRNA from a stalled ribosome. RNAcentral also lists the same sequence under 1 other name. The record is from RNAcentral.
GGGGAUGUCCCGGUUUCGACAGAAAGUUUGAAGUCCGAAGCUUGCGUUCAGGUGGUUGUCUGGUCCCACCUCAAUCCGUCCAGACAAAUUUAAGUGCUAACCCACUUGCUCGACUUGCUCAGGCUCUCCGAAUGGAAGAGGCUUCUCUUGCUUUCGCUCCUGUAGCAUAGUCAACGAUCGCCCUUUGUGCGAUCUCGCUCCCUUCCUAAGGUUUCGUAGGGAAGACGAGUGUCAUACACGAGACUGUGGUGAGGCAGCGCUCGCAUUCCGCUGCUGAUCCAAGAUUUUGGUCUGCGCCUCCGGUCUGUUUUCGUCCGUCCUUGAUGAACCGGUUGUAACCAGGACGGUCUAUGAACGUAGAGGGUUUCGCACUUCCUUUUUGGACGCGGGUUCGACUCCCGCCAUCUCCACCA